UGAGGACGAGGUGGUCCGGGAGAGAUGCCGGGAGGAGUUGAAGAAAGCUGCCAUGGAGUGGGGUGUGAUGCACCUUGUUAACCAUGGCAUCUCUGAUGACCUUAUCAACCGUGUUAAGGUUGCUGGAGAGACCUUUUUCAAUCUCCCCAUGGAGGAAAAGGAGAAGUAUGCUAAUGACCAGGCCUCCGGCAAGAUCGCUGGCUAUGGCAGCAAGCUUGCCAACAAUGCUAGUGGACAGCUUGAGUGGGAGGACUACUUCUUCCACCUCAUCUUCCCUGAAGACAAGCGCGAUAUGACCAUCUGGCCUAAGACACCAAGCGACUACGUGUAAGUUCAAUUCAUUGUUUAUGUAAUUAUACGAUGUUUGCUGAUCUGUUUUUCCUCUGGCCAAGUAGUUACUAACUGAAUUUUCUAUUAUAAAAAAAAAUCUGCAAAUUUUACUAAUUUUGAAAUUGUUUCUGGGUUCUAAGAAUUACUUGUUCAAACUUGUGAUUGCAGUCCAGCAACCUGUGAGUACUCGGUGAAACUUAGGAGCCUGGCAACCAAGAUACUAUCGGUGCUAUCGCUUGGGUUGGGAUUGGAAGAAGGGAGAC
This 593-nucleotide long non-coding RNA is filed under the name Vitis vinifera (wine grape). RNAcentral's name for it is "long non-coding RNA (VVIN_LNC000390)". The record is from RNAcentral. Lineage: Eukaryota; Viridiplantae; Streptophyta; Magnoliopsida; Vitales; Vitaceae.